CAUGCAAGUCUACGAGAAUGAGGUAGCAAUAUCUUUAGUAAAGUGGCGCACGGGUGAGUAACGCGUAAGCAAUCUACCUUUGGGUUCGGAAUAACGUCGAGAAAUCGUCGCUAAUACCGGAUAAUGCAGCGGCAUCGCAUGAUGAUGUUGUUAAAGCCCUUGAGGCGCCUAAAGAUGAGCUUGCGUCCGAUUAGCUAGUUGGUGAGGUAACGGCCCACCAAGGCUUCGAUCGGUAGCUGGUCUGAGAGGAUGACCAGCCACACUGGAACUGAGACACGGUCCAGACUCCUACGGGAGGCAGCAGUGAGGAAUAUUGGGCAAUGCCCGCAAGGGUGACCCAGCAACGCCGCGUGGAGGAUGAAAGCCGUAAGGUUGUAAACUCCUGUUAGAGGGGAAGAAUAAUCCCGAUAACCUCGGGACUUGACU
RNAcentral lists this ribosomal RNA (426 nucleotides) under uncultured bacterium. Its description in RNAcentral is "bacterial SSU rRNA". It matches the Rfam family "Bacterial small subunit ribosomal RNA", at positions 54 to 474 of the family's 1533-position model. The record is from RNAcentral.